This 584-nucleotide long non-coding RNA is filed under the name Citrus sinensis (sweet orange). RNAcentral describes it as "long non-coding RNA (CSIN_LNC004698)". The record is from RNAcentral. Lineage: Eukaryota; Viridiplantae; Streptophyta; Magnoliopsida; Sapindales; Rutaceae.
GAGCACUUGGAGGUGGUUUCAAACAAAAAUAUCCUAUAAUCAUUGAUCACAACCUGCCACUUUUGAUUAGUUCUUUGACAAUUAUGAAUCAAAGCCUAAACUAGCAAUCAAACCACUACCAAUUUCAUCUAGUUGUACACUUAAAUAAACAAGAUAGCAAUUCUUGAGUUAUAAAAUCAGUGAAAUAUAAUAUCUUCAAAAGAAAGAUGAAUAAAUUCUGAAACUUUAUUAACUAAAACUCAUGUCUAGGGUUUCAAAAUCAAUCCUUAACCAACAAAAAAAUUACUCACUCAUGUCUAAAAUAUUACAAAUCAAAGUCAUUUAAAAGAAAACUAGCAAAAUACAAGAGAAAGAAAAGCUUAUUGAUGAAUUCCAAUUAUGACAGCAUGUUGUCCUUCAAAGCAUUCCUUCAAUUUCGUUUUUGUAAGUGUUCUCCCUCUCUUUCUUUAAUGAGGCUCCUCCCUUUUUUUAUGAAGCUGAGUUCUCUUCCAUUUUAACAAGCAAAGACACCUUUUUCAUCAUGGUGUGAAUGGAGAAUCGAAUAGGUGGCUGCCAACUCUUAAAGUCAAGCAUGUCACCAUCUC